RNAcentral lists this transfer RNA (75 nucleotides) under Candidatus Woesearchaeota archaeon. Its description in RNAcentral is "tRNA-Glu". It matches the Rfam family "tRNA". Rfam says of the family: Transfer RNA (tRNA) molecules are approximately 80 nucleotides in length. The record is from RNAcentral. Lineage: Archaea; Nanobdellati; Candidatus Woesearchaeota.
GCUCCGGUAGUGUAGUCCGGCCAAUCAUUUUGCCCUCUCGAGGCAAAGACCCGGGUUCGAAUCCCGGCCGGAGCG